Molecule: long non-coding RNA, 633 nt
Filed under: Rattus norvegicus (Norway rat)
Lineage: Eukaryota; Metazoa; Chordata; Mammalia; Rodentia; Muridae
Description: long non-coding RNA NONRATT032201
Source: RNAcentral
GGCAACCCCUCUAACCUCUGCCUCCAGGCACAUUCCCACGAAGAGCUCUUGUCUGGUGCCGAAGUAACCAUUUGGAAACAUUAAAAGGACAGAAAUAUUCUAGAUAUAUCUAAAAGCUGGAGGCUAUAGCUGCUCAAACAGCCGAGAAACUUCUGCAGUUAUUGGUAGAGGAUAAAAGCGAUGGUUGAAGCUACUCUUAGCCAAGUUACUUCUACUUGAGCUAAACGUAUUCUUUGCUCAUUCAAAAUAUUUUGCAACACCACACUCUCCAUUUACAAGCAACAAAAGACCACAUCAGUGAACUCUGGAACUAUUUUCCAGAUGGGCCUGCCUCUGAGAAAAUCCAGAAAUACAAAUGCAACCGGGCAAACUGCAGGAGAAUGGUCAAUCAUGGAGACGCUCUUGCUUCUAGGCUACACGCCUGCCUCGAGUCUGCUCCAGAAGGGAUUUCAUGUCCACAUAGGAUCAGGGAUUGAGACAUGCCAAGCAGUUCGGAUGCUGUUACUGCUGCUGCUGCUGUUUGCAAUCCUGCAGUGGAUAGAACCCAGGGCCUCACGAAUGCCAGGCAAGUGCCUCAGCUAGUACAGCAUUCCCACCCCCUCCACACGUUUUCGUGCAAACGUUCUACUUAAU